CCUACGGGGGGCAGCAGUGAGGAAUAUUGGUCAAUGGGCGGAAGCCUGAACCAGCCAAGUCGCGUGAGGGAUUAAGGCCCUGCGGGUCGUAAACCUCUUUUGCCGGGGAGCAGAGGUCCGGACGUGUCCGGGCCGGGAGAGUACCCGGAGAAAAAGCAUCGGCUAACUCCGUGCCAGCAGCCGCGGUAAUACGGAGGAUGCGAGCGUUAUCCGGAUUUAUUGGGUUUAAAGGGUGCGUAGGCGGGCAUUUAAGCCGGCGGUCAAAUGUCGGGGCUCAACCCCGGCCUGCCGUCGGAACUGGGUGCCUUGAGUGGGCGAGAAGUAUGCGGAAUGCGUGGUGUAGCGGUGAAAUGCAUAGAUAUCACGCAGAACCCCGAUUGCGAAGGCAGCUUACCAAUCUAUAUCUGACGUUGAGGCACGAAAGCGUGGGGAGCAAACAGGAUUAGAUACCCCUGUAGUC
Molecule: ribosomal RNA, 460 nt
Filed under: uncultured bacterium
Lineage: Bacteria
Description: partial 16S ribosomal RNA
Rfam family: Bacterial small subunit ribosomal RNA
Source: RNAcentral